GUUUAAGCACUCACACCACAGACUAAAUAUACACAAAUAUCUGGAAAUGUCAGAGGAGGUAAAUCGUCGGGGUCUCGAGUACAUUCUCUUGCAGGCACCUCAUACGGAUCCAGAUUUCCGAUCAAUGCCAUCUUUUCCAGAAGCUGCAUCUGAAGAGGCAUUUAGAUAAGUCCACGCGAGAGGAUACUCCAUCAUCGAAUGUGACGGAGAACAGUAACGAGGGUGUUUACAAAAUGAAAAUGUACUAAAAGAAUUACAGAUGAGCACAUCACAACAUGAACAGACAUCUGAGUGAGAGAUGAAUGUGUGCUAUUAUAGUAGAAUUCACUGUUGUCAACACUGCUUUAGAUGGAUGUAAGGGACAGAUGAGACACACGAGUACUUCUGCAGAGUGCAGGGUGACUGAUGAAGGAAUGCUGCCAUCAAAGGCUCUCAGCGAAGCUUUUGUGGUGGAGCAGGUGACAGUGGCAUUUGUGGAAAAAAAGGGAAAACUUCAAAUAAAAAUAUAAAGAUCUGAAAUGUCUGCAGGCUGGUGUGAGCAGUGAGGAAGUUCACAUGAUCAUCCUAGAAAUGGUCCAGUGCCAUGGAUGAGACACUCCAUCACUCCACCUGCCCUCAUCUGUCUCAUCUGGACUGGAUGCUGCUGUGGUCUCUUCAUCCUCAGUGACCCCAGAGCCAGGACCCCCAAUCCCCCUGCAGCAACCUGGAGUAAGAAGGCUUGAUCAAGGACACAUGUCUGGUGGUGACGACUGUGGAGAUCGACCAACCUUCUGCUAACCAGUUCAGCCCACUACACCACAGAAGGAGUUGUGCUCGUGGAGAGCAGGCACACAGAUGUUUGGAGCAGACACAGCAGUAGUCAAAUUGUCCGGCACAUGUUCUCCUGCUCUUGUUCAAGGUUGUGUGGUUCAGGGGCGUCAUCAUGGUCUUCCUCAUCCUCUCUGUGUACUCGGGCAAAGACAGCUUCGAUGUCCCUUUUCCAUCCAUGAUCAGAUUCAGUCUGACUGCAGCAGUGAGGGUUCUGAUGGACAGCAGAGACAGGUGAAGGUGGACACGGUGGUCAGCUGCUUCAUCAGAAUAAAGCUGCAGAAUUGGCACAGCUGUGUUGAAAUGGAAGUAGGAUGUGGGGUUCACCGUCUGUAAAUACAUGAUUGUUGGAACAAUGUUUGAAUAAAGCUUUGUUUCAUGUGUUGUUGACUUGGUAUUUAUUUAUUUUCAUGGUUACUUUUAUUCAUUAUUUUAAUCAUUUAUUCAUGUUUCCUUUCGUUGUCAGUAAAUAAAAUAUAAUUGUUUCAUUAACUUAUGCAUUAAUUCAUUACUUGACUGAAAAUUGAGAUGUAUUCACUUUGGCUGCAUUUGUCUAGUGUGUCUUUAUUAUUACUGCAGAACUUUUAA
Long non-coding RNA from Onychostoma macrolepis, 1395 nucleotides. RefSeq lists it as uncharacterized. Lineage: Eukaryota; Metazoa; Chordata; Actinopteri; Cypriniformes; Cyprinidae. The transcript is spliced from 9 exons. The record is from RefSeq and is a predicted model, not a curated record.